This 71-nucleotide transfer RNA is filed under the name Cavia porcellus (domestic guinea pig). It matches the Rfam family "tRNA". Rfam says of the family: Transfer RNA (tRNA) molecules are approximately 80 nucleotides in length. Their secondary structure includes four short double-helical elements and three loops (D, anti-codon, and T loops). Lineage: Eukaryota; Metazoa; Chordata; Mammalia; Rodentia; Caviidae. The record is from Rfam by way of RNAcentral.
GGGGAUUUAGCUCAGCGGCAUAAGCGCCUGCCUUGCAAGCAGGCGGUCAUGAGUUCGAUCCCUGGUACCCA